This is an RNA transcript of Neomonachus schauinslandi (Hawaiian monk seal), 2758 nucleotides long. It is a transcript of the gene named Cdc42 guanine nucleotide exchange factor 9, with no coding region annotated. The transcript is spliced from 10 exons. The record is from RefSeq and is a predicted model, not a curated record. NCBI's taxonomy places the organism in Eukaryota, Metazoa, Chordata, Mammalia, Carnivora, Phocidae.
GGCAGGAUUUAAAUGAGAGGCUGGAAGCCUGGAGCAUCGCGGAGAGAGCAAGCAAGCAGGCUAGAAAAACGAGGAAACUAGGAAAGCGAGCGACCUAGAGGGAGUAGGGGAGACCGCGACUGACCUGUAGCCAGGCAGGUGGACAGACGCACGCCCGGACAGACAACCGAGCAGGCGCAGGAGAACCUCGCACUGGUUCCUCCCGCCUUUCUCUUUGAAAGCCAGGAUUUUGCCUUUUGCUUGGCGCCCGAGAGAGAAUGCUGGAUUCUGCCGACUUAAGCGCGAGCUAAGAUUUCUCAGCUAGGGAAGAAAGAUCAGCUUAAUCCUGAGAAGGGGGAAAUCAAUCUCCCCUGUCCCCAUCCCCUCCCCCCAUACCAAACUCGGGCGCCAAACCCAGCCCUUCCCCAACCAUCCGACUUCCUCCUCUCCUUUCUAGCAUGGUGGCUGUAUGGACAGUCUGACAGAACAGAGACUGACAUCUCCCAAUCUGCCGGCCCCCCACUUGGAACACUACAGUGUUCUGCAUUGCACCAUGACCCUGGAUGUGCAAACUGUAGUUGUUUUUGCCGUGAUUGUAGUCCUCCUGCUUGUCAAUGUCAUACUCAUGUUUUUCCUGGGAACGCGCUGAAUGGAGUCCAGCUUCCUGAGCUGUUGCGAACUCUCGCUUUGAUUUCAUCCCGAGAACCACCGAGAAUAAAAAAGAGACAGACAGAGACAGGGAAAGAAAGGGAGAGAAAGAGCAAGCAAAAUUUUUUACUCAGGGGGGAAAACGUUUUGAGCUUCAACAUGGCCUCGCUGUGAUAUCUGAUCACUGGAGAUUCCAUCGUUAGUGCUGAGGCAGUAUGGGAUCACGUCACCAUGGCCAACCGGGAGUUGGCAUUUAAGGCUGGCGACGUCAUCAAAGUCUUGGAUGCUUCCAACAAGGAUUGGUGGUGGGGCCAGAUCGACGAUGAGGAGGGAUGGUUUCCUGCCAGCUUUGUGAGGCUCUGGGUGAACCAGGAAGAUGGGGUGGAGGAAGGGCCCAGUGAUGUGCAGAAUGGGCACCUGGACCCCAACUCAGACUGCCUCUGUCUGGGCCGGCCACUACAGAACCGGGACCAGAUGCGAGCCAAUGUCAUCAAUGAGAUCAUGAGCACCGAACGUCAUUACAUCAAGCACCUCAAGGACAUUUGUGAGGGCUACCUGAAGCAAUGCCGGAAGAGAAGGGACAUGUUCAGUGAUGAGCAACUGAAGAUAAUUUUUGGGAACAUUGAAGACAUCUACAGGUUUCAGAUGGGCUUCGUGAGAGACCUGGAGAAACAGUACAACAAUGAUGACCCCCACCUCAGUGAGAUAGGACCCUGCUUCCUGGAGCACCAAGAUGGAUUCUGGAUAUACUCCGAGUAUUGUAACAACCACCUGGACGCCUGCAUGGAACUCUCCAAACUAAUGAAGGACAGCCGCUACCAGCACUUCUUUGAGGCCUGUCGCCUCUUGCAGCAGAUGAUCGAUAUUGCUAUUGAUGGUUUCCUUUUGACUCCAGUGCAGAAGAUCUGCAAAUAUCCCUUACAACUGGCUGAGCUCCUCAAAUAUACUGCCCAGGACCAUAGUGACUACAGGUAUGUGGCAGCUGCUCUGGCUGUCAUGAGAAACGUGACUCAGCAGAUCAAUGAGCGCAAGCGGCGUUUGGAGAAUAUUGACAAGAUUGCCCAGUGGCAGGCAUCUGUCCUAGACUGGGAGGGUGAGGACAUCCUAGACAGGAGCUCGGAGCUGAUCUACACUGGGGAAAUGGCCUGGAUCUACCAGCCCUAUGGCCGCAACCAGCAGCGGGUCUUCUUCCUGUUUGACCACCAGAUGGUCCUCUGCAAGAAGGACCUGAUCCGAAGAGACAUUCUGUACUACAAAGGCCGCAUUGACAUGGAUAAAUAUGAGGUAGUUGACAUUGAAGAUGGCAGAGAUGAUGACUUUAAUGUCAGCAUGAAAAAUGCCUUCAAGCUUCACAACAAGGAGACUGAGGAGGUACAUCUAUUCUUUGCCAAAAAGCUGGAGGAGAAGAUACGCUGGCUCAGGGCUUUCAGAGAAGAGAGGAAAAUGGUACAGGAAGAUGAAAAAAUUGGCUUUGAAAUUUCUGAAAACCAGAAGAGGCAGGCUGCAAUGACUGUGAGAAAAGUCCCUAAACAAAAAGGUAAAGCUGCCUUUAACCACUGCCACCCCAGCAGCCCCACUUACUCUCUUUGUGAGACUGGGAAGCCAUAAACCAUGUGAUUGUAUAUCCCCAGGCUUGUUUCCAGGCUGAAGUUCACUUGGGGUGAUGGGGAGUGUCUGGGUUUCCAGGUGUCCCUGAUGACAAGUGGCAAAUGGUCUUAAAGACAUAAGGCUUAGGAGUAAAUAGUGUAAGGUAUUUAUGUCCAAAAAUAGUUCUUUGGGUACAAGAAAAAAUAGAAUUUCUAUUUCUUUUCAUUUUUACAUAAGUAAAAGAGAAAAACUAAACUUUAUUCACAAUUUAGAGAGAGAUAGACAAUAAUAACAUGUAAUUUUUAUUAAUAAGUAUAUUUGGAAUAUGUAUACAAUUUUUAUUUCAUUUGUUUGGGGACAUUUUCAAGGUUAGGAGUCUCAAAUCAGAAUAGAGAACUUCAAACUGAACCAAGACAGAAGAUUCAGAUAUUUAUUCUCUUUCUCUGAACCAUAAACUAAAGUACUUAAAAAAGGAAAAUAGGGGUGCCUGGUGGCUCAGUCGGUUGUCUGACUCUUGAUUUUGGCUCAGGUCAUGAUCUCAGGG